CCUACGGGAGGCUGCAGUGGGGAAUAUUGCACAAUGGGGGAAACCCUGAUGCAGCGACGCCGCGUGAGUGAAGAAGUAUUUCGGUACGUAAAGCUCUAUCAGCAGGGAAGAAAAUGACGGUACCUGACUAAGAAGCCCCGGCUAACUACGUGCCAGCAGCCGCGGUAAUACGUAGGGGGCAAGCGUUAUCCGGAUUUACUGGGUGUAAAGGGAGCGUAGACGGCAGCGCAAGUCUGGAGUGAAAUCCCAUGGCUUAACCAUGGAACUGCGUUGGAAACUGUGCAGCUAGAGUGCAGGAGAGGUAAGCGGAAUUCGUAGUGUAGCGGUGAAAUGCGUAGAUAUUAGGAGGAACACCAGUGGCGAAGGCGGCUUACUGGACUGUAACUGACGUUGAGGCUCGAAAGCGUGGGGAGCAAACAGGAUUAGAUACCCCAGUAGUC
RNAcentral lists this ribosomal RNA (440 nucleotides) under uncultured bacterium. Its description in RNAcentral is "partial 16S ribosomal RNA". It matches the Rfam family "Bacterial small subunit ribosomal RNA", at positions 338 to 795 of the family's 1533-position model. The record is from RNAcentral.